AGAAAUAUGGGUUUUAAUAGCAGUCGAGGAUAACGUUUUUUAUCUUUCUGCUAUCGUUGACAUACCCCUUAGUUUUAGAUAGCGUUUGCAAAAAUGUAAACGCUAUGUUUGGUUGAUCCGAUUUUAAUUCAGCAAACGCUUUUUAGAAACAUAUUAUAUAUAGCACUUUCAGUUUUGAAACGCUAUGCAUAAUUAAGGUGGGAAAAUUAUUGAUUUUAACAUCCACCCUCUUUUCACUUUCCCUCUCACUCCAUUUCAUUUACCUUCAAACCCAAAACCCUAAAACCUAUACCCUAAAUCCUAAAUUUUAAACACAACCCCUAAAACCCAAUUUUUUCUUAUUUUAAUGUCAAUUUUAUUAUUUUAAAAUUUUUAAUUUCAAAUAUUAAAUCUAAACCUCCCUCAAACCCUAUUCAUAUAUAUCAAACUACAUAUAUAUUCUAGACCUUGAACCUAACCCGAUAUAUAUAUAUAUAUCAAUUAAAUUUUAAAAAAAAUUAAUAUUAAAAUUUUUUUAAUUUCAAUAAUUAAAGAAACUUUAAUAUUUUUAAACUUUGAUAUCAAAACUUAAGCUUUAAGAUUAUAAUCUCCAAAUUUAACUAUAAACUCUAAAACAAAGCUUUCUAAAUUUUAAUACACCGCAAUUUAAUACAAUUUAAAAUUUUAGUUUCAAAUAUUAAAUUUAAACCUCAAACUCUAAAAUAUAGACAUAUAUAUAUACACUCCAAAUUAAUCUUAUACCCUAAACCACAUAGUACUUUAACACACUUCAUAGAACAUUAAACCUCAAACUUAUGCAUACAAUUUAAUUUCUAUAAUAUAUGUAUAUCCUAAACCAUAUACCACAUUUCAGUCGUACAUUAUACAUUUCAAAAAUAAAAUUAAACCACUAAAUAAUAAACAACACAAAAACAAAAGAAUUAGCUUCAUUUAAAUGUUUUUAUCAAAUCUGUUUUUAAAUUAAAUAGCCAAAAAAUUCAAGUGAAAAUUUUUAUAUUUCAAAUUUUACAUAUAAUCAUUUUAUAAGCUAUAAAAUUAAUCUUUUCUAAACUUAAUAUCAACCCAUAUACUUGAUUCCAAAUCUUACAUAUAAUCAUUUUAUAAGCUAUAAAAUUAAUUUUUUCUAAACUUAAUAUCAACCCAUAUACUUGAUUUCAAAUCUUAACCCUGAACCCUUAAUCAGAUAUUUCAAAUGAACCUAUAUCAUAAAACAUUAAAACUCAAAUUUUAAUCAAUAAAUUUUUUUUUUUAAAACACACAACCAUAAAAUUUGAAUAUAAAAUUUAUAUUUUAAAUUAUGUUAUCAAAUUAUUUAAAGUUAGAUAAUUUUUAUAAUAUUUAUAAAGAAAUGAAAACACAAUUUGUAUUGUUCUUUUUGAGCCAUUGAUUGAAUUUUAUCAAGGGUCCAAAAUCACACUUCGAUCUAUCCACCUCCUUCUUUCCUAUUGGACAAUCCUUUUUCACUUCUCUUACUAUAAUCUGUAAGCCUUCUCUCUCUCUCUUCUUCUCAAGCCAACACCAUCUCCUUCUUUGAAGUUUGUAAACGGCGAGGAUUGGUGUGGAAAAGGCUCAUGUUAUUGUGGUGAGAUAAUGAAGUAUAAGAGGAAGAGGCGAAGGUCGUGGUCUAGCUGCACGAGUACCGGAACAACGGAGGUGCCCAUCAAUGGCGGAUCUGGAAGACUAUGACGACGGCGCGAGCAGAUCCAAGCUUUGGCAAAGAAGAACCAAAAAGUCUACGGCUUUAUCAAAGGUGAUUCCUUCGUUUUGUCUCUCACUCAGAUUGUUUGUGCAGUAAGUAAGGUCUCCAAGAAAAAUCUGAGAUUGGGUCACUCGAAAGAGAAAAAAGAUGAAGGAGGACAACGGAGAACAUGGCUUAGGGCGUGGCUGAAGCGUCAAGUGUGUAGGAAGACAGUGACGCCGGAGCUCUUGUGGUGACGGGGACUGCAGCGGCGACGAAUGGAAGAGAACGACAAUGACCUCGCGGCGGCUCUCGCGAUGUGGAAGACACGGUGGUUUACUGUUUAGAUGUUGUUGACGACGGCUGCAAGUUUUUUUUUUCUAGAUUUCAGAUUAGGUUUGGUUUUGAUAUAAACCGGUUUUAGUUUAAACAAAUGUUUUUUUGUAAACCAAUUUUGAUUAUAAAUAAAAUUUAUUGUUAAUUUUUUA
This is a long non-coding RNA of Brassica napus (rape), 2166 nucleotides long. RefSeq lists it as uncharacterized. The transcript has 2 exons. Lineage: Eukaryota; Viridiplantae; Streptophyta; Magnoliopsida; Brassicales; Brassicaceae. The record is from RefSeq and is a predicted model, not a curated record.